This 63-nucleotide transfer RNA is filed under the name Largus sp. RNAcentral describes it as "tRNA-Ile". Lineage: Eukaryota; Metazoa; Arthropoda; Insecta; Hemiptera; Largidae. The record is from RNAcentral.
GAUAAGAUGCCUGAUAAAAGGAAUAUCUUGAUAGGAUAUAUUAUGUAUUAUUUACUCUUAUUA